GCAAGUCGAACGAUCCUGUAUCUUCGGAUACAGGGAGUGGCAAACGGCUGAGUAACGCGUAGGAACCUACCCCAAACUCGAGUAUAGCCCCGCGAAAGCGGGGGUAAUCCUCGAUAGUCCGUGAAGUAUUUUACUUCACGGUAAAGCUUUUGCGGUUUGGGAUGGGCCUGCGUCCUAUCAGGUAGUUGGUGAGGUAAGUGCUCACCAAGCCUAUGACGGGUAGCUGGUCUGAGAGGAUGGUCAGCCAGACUGGGACUGCGACACGGCCCAGACUCCUACGGGAGGCAGCAACUAGGAAUUGUGCGCAAUGGACGAAAGUCUGACGCCGCGACAUCGCGUGGAGGAUGAAGGUCUUCGGAUUGUAAACUCCUUUUCUUACCGAACAAGUUCUGAGUGUAGGUAAGGAAUAAGUGCCUGCUAACCACGUGCCAGAAGCAUCGGUAAUACGUGGGGCACGAGCGUAUCCGGAUUUACUGGGCGUAAAGAGAAGCGUAGGCGGCUCGAUAAGUUUGGUGUUAAUCUUCCGGCUCAACCGGAAACAAGUACCGAAAACUAUCGAGAUUGAGUCGAGUAGGGAAGAGGGGAAUUCCUGGUAGAGCGGUUAAAUGCGUAGAUAUCAGGAGGAAUACCAAGGGCGAAGGCACCUCUUUGGACUCGUACUGACGCUGAGGCUCGAAAGCGUGGGUAGCAAAACGGAUUAGAUACCCGUGUAGUCCACGCCGUAAACGAUCCCUGUUAGAUGU
RNAcentral lists this ribosomal RNA (743 nucleotides) under uncultured organism. RNAcentral's name for it is "bacterial SSU rRNA". It matches the Rfam family "Bacterial small subunit ribosomal RNA", at positions 57 to 823 of the family's 1533-position model. The record is from RNAcentral.